AUUGAACGCUGGCGGCAUGCUUUACACAUGCAAGUCGAACGGUAGAGGGGGCAACCCCUUGAGAGUGGCGAACGGGUGAGUAAUGCAUCGGAACGUGCCCAGUCGUGGGGGAUAACGCAGCGAAAGCUGUGCUAAUACCGCAUACGAUCUCUGGAUGAAAGCGGGGGACCGAAAGGCCUCGCGCGAUUGGAGCGGCCGAUGUCAGAUUAGGUAGUUGGUGGGGUAAAGGCCUACCAAGCCAACGAUCUGUAGCUGGUCUGAGAGGACGACCAGCCAAACUGGGACUGAGAAACGGCACAGACUCCUACGGGAGGCAGCAGUGGGGAAUUUUGGACAAUGGGCGCAAGCCUGAUCCAGCAAUGCCGCGUGCAGGAAGAAGGCCUUCGGGUUGUAAACUGCUUUUGUACGGAACGAAACGGUCUGGGUUAAUACCCUGGGCUAAUGACGGUACCGUAAGAAUAAGCACCGGCUAACUACGUGCCAGCAGCCGCCGUAA
This 496-nucleotide ribosomal RNA is filed under the name uncultured bacterium. Its description in RNAcentral is "partial 16S ribosomal RNA". It matches the Rfam family "Bacterial small subunit ribosomal RNA", at positions 30 to 523 of the family's 1533-position model. The record is from RNAcentral.